RNAcentral lists this ribosomal RNA (434 nucleotides) under uncultured bacterium. RNAcentral describes it as "bacterial SSU rRNA". It matches the Rfam family "Bacterial small subunit ribosomal RNA", at positions 958 to 1392 of the family's 1533-position model. The record is from RNAcentral.
AACGCGAAGAACCUUACCUGGUCUUGACAUCCACGGAAGUUUUCAGAGAUGAGAAUGUGCCUUCGGGAACCGUGAGACAGGUGCUGCAUGGCUGUCGUCAGCUCGUGUUGUGAAAUGUUGGGUUAAGUCCCGCAACGGGCGCAACCCUUAUCCUUUGUUGCCAGCGGUCCGGCCGGGAACUCAAAGGAGACUGCCAGUGAUAAACUGGAGGAAGGUGGGGGUGACGUCAAGUCAUCAUGGCCCUUACGACCAGGGCUACACACGUGCUACAAUGGCGCAUACAAAGAGAAGCGACCUCGCGAGAGCAAGCGGACCUCAUAAAGUGCGUCGUAGUCCGGAUUGGAGUCUGCAACUCGACUCCAUGAAGUCGGAAUCGCUAGUAAUCGUGGAUCAGAAUGCCACGGUGAAUACGUUCCCGGGCCUUGUACACACCG